RNAcentral lists this ribosomal RNA (470 nucleotides) under uncultured Dechloromonas sp. Its description in RNAcentral is "bacterial SSU rRNA". It matches the Rfam family "Bacterial small subunit ribosomal RNA", at positions 335 to 797 of the family's 1533-position model. The record is from RNAcentral. Lineage: Bacteria; Pseudomonadati; Pseudomonadota; Betaproteobacteria; Rhodocyclales; Azonexaceae.
UGUCCUACGGGGGGCUGCAGUGGGGAAUUUUGGACAAUGGGGGCAACCCUGAUCCAGCCAUGCCGCGUGAGUGAAGAAGGCCUUCGGGUUGUAAAGCUCUUUCGGCCGGGAAGAAAUCGUGUGGGCUAAUAUCCUGCAUGGAUGACGGUACCGGACUAAGAAGCACCGGCUAACUACGUGCCAGCAGCCGCGGUAAUACGUAGGGUGCGAGCGUUAAUCGGAAUUACUGGGCGUAAAGCGUGCGCAGGCGGUUUUUUAAGACAGGCGUGAAAUCCCCGGGCUUAACCUGGGAACGGCGCUUGUGACUGGAAGGCUAGAGUACGGCAGAGGGGGGUGGAAUUCCACGUGUAGCAGUGAAAUGCGUAGAGAUGUGGAGGAACACCGAUGGCGAAGGCAGCCCCCUGGGCCGAUACUGACGCUCAUGCACGAAAGCGUGGGGAGCAAACAGGAUUAGAUACCCUUGUAGUCUA